This 253-nucleotide ribosomal RNA is filed under the name uncultured bacterium. RNAcentral describes it as "partial 16S ribosomal RNA". It matches the Rfam family "Bacterial small subunit ribosomal RNA", at positions 524 to 776 of the family's 1533-position model. The record is from RNAcentral.
UACGUAGGGUGCAAGCGUUAAUCGGAAUUACUGGGCGUAAAGCGUGCGCAGGUGGUCGCGCAAGACAGAUGUGAAAUCCCUGGGCUCAACCUGGGAACCGCAUUUGUGACUGCUCGGCUGGAGUGCGGCAGAGGGGGAUGGAAUUCCGCGUGUAGCAGUGAAAUGCGUAGAUAUGCGGAGGAACACCGAUGGCGAAGGCAAUCCCCUGGGCCUGCACUGACGCUCAUGCACGAAAGCGUGGGGAGCAAACAGG